Long non-coding RNA from Heterocephalus glaber (naked mole-rat), 361 nucleotides. Lineage: Eukaryota; Metazoa; Chordata; Mammalia; Rodentia; Bathyergidae. The record is from Ensembl.
GUAGACUCUAGCAUCUGGACAUUUGGUCACCUGGAUUCUGAAUCUUACUUCAUCUUUAGAGCUAUGUGACCUCACCUACCUUCUUCGAGCCUCAAGAUCAAUAAGUGAGAACAGAUAGAGAUGUAGCCACUGGAGUCAGACAAUUGAAGAUAUAAUAAUUACUGAUAAAGGCUGUUGGUCCAGGAGAUAUUCAAAGGACAAAACCAAGAAAGACAACUCAUAAACUCUUCCUAAGUGGUGUGUAGUCUGUAUUCAAAUAUCUCAAAGAUUCAAGAUGAUAUUGGCUCUCUGCCCAUGAAGAGACAAUAUUUACUGAUGUGGAAUUGGAAAGUCUAAAAAAGCUGCCUCUGUUUCUGUGUAU